This 84-nucleotide transfer RNA is filed under the name Candidatus Terrybacteria bacterium RIFCSPHIGHO2_01_FULL_43_35. RNAcentral describes it as "tRNA-Leu". It matches the Rfam family "tRNA". Rfam says of the family: Transfer RNA (tRNA) molecules are approximately 80 nucleotides in length. Lineage: Bacteria; Candidatus Terryibacteriota. The record is from RNAcentral. RNAcentral also lists the same sequence under 1 other name.
GCCGAAGUGGCGGAAUGGCAGACGCGCACGACUCAAAAUCGUGUGAGGAAACUCAUGAGGGUUCGACUCCCUCCUUCGGCACAA